Long non-coding RNA from Orcinus orca (killer whale), 10582 nucleotides. RefSeq lists it as uncharacterized. The record is from RefSeq and is a predicted model, not a curated record. NCBI's taxonomy places the organism in Eukaryota, Metazoa, Chordata, Mammalia, Artiodactyla, Delphinidae. The transcript has 5 exons.
GAGGGUUUAUUUUGGGGCUCUCUAUUCUGUUCCAUUGGUCCAUGUCUGUCCUUAUACCAGUACCGCACUGUUUUGACUGCUGUAGCUUUGUAGUAAAUUUUGAAACCAGGAAGUGUGAGACCUCCAGCUUUGUUCUUCUUUUUCAAGAUUGUUUUGGCUCUUUGGGGGCCCCUUGAGAUUCCACAUGAAUUUUAAGAUGGGUUUUUCUAUUUCUGCAAAAUAUACAGAUUAAAUUGAUCUGUAGAUUGCCUUGGGUAGUAUUGUCAUCUUAACAAUAUUGGAUGCCAGACAUUGUGAAUUUUACCUUAUUGGAUGCUCGAUAUUUUUGUACUACUAUAGAUGUGCUUAAAGCUUUUUUCUGGGAAGUUGUUACUUGGAAACAGUUUGAUCUUUUUGAGACUAGCUUUUAGAAGCCAGAAUCAAAGCAGCCUUUUAGUCUCAGGCUAAUUUCACUCUACUACUGAGGCAAAACCCUCCUCAGUAUUUUACCCACUGUCUUAUGAAUUAUGAAGAUAUCCCACUCAGGCUGUGGGAACGCAAACUAUCUGGUCCCUGUGUGAGCUUUGAAUCUUUUUUUUUUUUUUUCCUUUUUGCGGUACGCGGGCCUCUCACUGUUGUGGCCUCUCCUGUUGCGGAGCACAGGCUCCGGAUGCGCAGGCUCAGCGGCCAUGGCUCACGGGCCCAGCCGCUCCGCGGCAUGUGGGAUCUUCCCAGACCGGGGCACGAACCCGUGUCCCCUGCAUCAGCAGGCGGACUCUCAACCACUGCACCACCAGGGAAGCCCUGAAUCUUUUUUUUUUAAUAUAUUUUUUAAAAUAUUUAUUUAUUUAUUUAGGCUGUGCCAGGUCUUAGUUGCAGCAUGCGGGCUCCUAGUUGUGGCAUGCGGACUUCUUAGUUGCAGCAUGUGGACUACUCUGUUGCAGCAUGUGGACUCUUAGUUGUAGCAUGCACGCAGGAUCUAGUUCCCCGACCAGGAAUUGAACCCAGGCCCCCUGCAUUGGGAGUGUGGAGUCCUACCCACUGGACCACCAGGGAAAUCCCGAGCUUUGAAUAUUUUUCCCCUCCAGUCCUUUCAGGUGGUUCUUUCUCCAGCUUUAGGUAGUUUCUUUACAUGUAUUCACUAACCAGUACUCAGAUGGAAGACUCAAGGCGCAUCCUCUGCAUAUCUCCAGAGCUUUCUCUCUGUGCAGCCCUCUUCUCUCUAGUAUUCUGUCCUGUGAGUUUUAGCUACCUUGGCCUUCCUGGACUCCCAACUCUGUCUUCUCAGCUCACAAAGGCUGCUAGGCUCUGCUUGGAUUCCACCCCUCUGCACUGUGGCCUAGAAACUCUCUUCUGACAGUAUGCUAGGGCACUCAGCUUGUUUGUUUCUCCUCUUUCUGUGAUCAUUAUCAUGUGCUACCUGAUGUCCAGUGUCUGAAAACUAUUGUUUAAUAGAGUCUGUCCAUUUGUUGUUCUUUGGGCCAGGAGGGUAAAUUAUUCCAUCUUGGCCACAAGUGGAAGUCCCCUCUGGCUUUUUGUGAGACUGGGGUGUGAGAUUUCAGAAGUCCUAUUUUUCUGGGCAAUGAAGAAGUCCAGGAUGUGGCUCUGUGAGUGGAGGCUGAAAUGGGAUGGAUAUCAAAGUUCCUGGAGUAAAGGCAGAAUAGGAACUGGAAGGCUGGAUUGUUAAAUGAGUCAUUCAUAUGGAUGCUCAACUGGCAAACUAGGUGGGGGUGGAACUGGCGUUACAGAAAGAAGGAGGAGGAUGGCAAAGGGCCUGAAGGAAUAAAUUAACAGUGGUUUUGGAGAACCGUAAAAUAUUUCUUCUAGCUGGAAUAUAAAGUACCCAAGAAGCCAUGCCAGGAAAUAAAGUAGACCGGUGACUAUAUUUGAAAGGUGCUGUCUGCCAUACUGAAGAAUUUUUUUUUGGCUGUUCUGGGUCUUCAUUGCGGCACACAAGGCUUUUCGUUGCAGUAUGUGGGCUUCUCUAGUUGCGGCACUAGAACGCACGGGCUUAGUAGUUGCGGUAUGUGGGAUCUUAGUUCCCCGACAAGGGAUCCAAUCUGGGCCCCCUGCAUUGGGAGCAUGGAUUCUUGACCACUGGAGCAUCAGGGAAGUCCCCAUACUAAGGAAUUUGGAUAUUUUCUUGAAGGCAAUUGAGAAAGUCAAGAAAUUGGGAAGCCAGGGAGUCAGUUGGUCAUCCAGAUUAAUUCUGGAGUCGUCUAGCUGAUGACAUGGGGUAGGAAAGAAAACUGAUAACUAGAUUCAAACAUUCUUACUGAAUAAAGGAGGCUGGGAUCAUAGUUUUAAGGUUGUGUAGACAGUUACAAAACCAGAUGCCACAAGUCUCAAAGGAACAAAAAUGGUUUACCCACGAGUGGUGGACUUGGCAACAGGGAGCAAGGAGAAAGCUUCCCUCAUUCCCCCAACUCCUCCUCAACUUUGUGGUGGUCAGACUGUGAGAGAAGAAGCAGUCUCCUUCUGGAGAGGAGCGGGAAAGCAGGAGCCUCAGGAGAAAGCCACAAUCAGUUAAGACAAGGGCUGGAAGGAAAAGCUCAGCAAAGAAAGCCAGUGCGUAGGGCAGUUACUUUCUCCUGGAACAGGAGCUCCAGAAGGCACAGUGCAAAGGGCUCUGAGAAAAGCAAGUGGUGGCAAAAACAGGUUGCAGGUGUAUGUGGAGGAAACAGAGCAUCUGGGGCUCUAAUAUCAGUUUUCACCUCUUUUCCAGUCUUAGAAAGGUGGUGACACCUCCUCUGCUGUCAUUCUUUUUUUUUGUUUUGCUUUGGCUGCGUUGGGUCUUCAUUGCUCCGCGCGAGCUUCCUCUAGUUGGGGUGAGCGGGGGCUGCUCUUCGUUGCGGUGGCUUCUCUUGCUGCGGAGUAUGGGCUCUAGAGUGCAGGCUCAGUAGUUGUGGCGCACAGGCUUAGUUGCUCCGCGGCAUGUGGGAUCUUCCUGGACCAGAGUUCGAACCCCUGUCCCCUGCACUGGCAGACAGAUUCUUAACCACUGAGCCACCAGAGAAGUCCUGUCAUUCUCUUUUUUUUUUGUCAUUCUCUUUUAAUACCAUUCUUAAUGUGCCCCAUUACAACCGAUUUUAGUUUCACUUGAACAUAUUUCUAACGCUUACUUUGCUUUCUGUUUAAAAUUCAUGUGAUCAGAUUGGCAUGUCUCCAAGGAAAUACUCUCUCAAACCCUCAUGAAAUGUGCUCUCUCUGUAGCGAACACCGUGUUAUUCUAAUAUCUUAAGGCUUGGUCCAAAAGCCCAAAUUGCUUUCUCUGACACUGUCAACUCCUCCCCACUCUUCCCAGAGCCCUUCUUUCAGUUGGAUGAAGAAAUGGAAAUGCCCCCUUUUGCUCCCAAGGUCUUCAGCUUUUGCCCAAGCAUCAUUGCAGAGAAUUGCUUUGCAAGUGACUUGCCUCCUCUGAGCAGAUAGAGGUCAGAAAGUUUGAUAGAUUCUAUAACAUACUCCAGAUCCACAGUGGGAAGACAGCACCUCAUCCCCUUUCAAUAUUACUUGGCAUACAAUAUUUAAUUUUUGUAUAUAUAAUGUAUAGUACAAGAAUUAAAAUCUCCAAAAAUGUACGUGAUAAAGAGUAAGUUUCCCUUCUUCCUCUAUCCCCAAUUCACUUGCUCUCCCUAGAGACAACUACAGUUAUCAGUUUCUUGUUUAUUCUUCCAGAAAGAUUCUAUACAUUUAUCCACGUAUAUCCAUAUAUUCCUUUUUAAAAACCACAAAUUGUGGCGUAAUAUGCCCACAGUUUUGCACCUUGCCUUUUUCACUUCACACUAUAUCCUGAAGAUCUUUCUAAGUCAGUCCAUAGAGAGCUGCUCAUUGUUUUUGCAAAUGUGUAGUAUUACACUGCUAGCUAUACCAUAGUUUAUUUAACCAGUUUCCCACUGGCAGACUUUUCGGCUACUUCCAACUUUUUGCUCUUGCAAACAACGUUUCAGUGAAUAUUUUUCUACAUGUGUCAUUUCAAACAUAUAUUUAUAGAAUAUAUGUAGAAUAAAUAUAUAGACUAUAUAUAGAAUAAGUAGAUAUAGAAUGCAUCUCUUGAAGUGGAAUUUCUAGAUCAGACUAUGGCACUAUCACUUUUGAUUGGCCGUGAGGAGGCUUUUUCCAGUGAUAUCUUGAACACUGUGGCAGCAAGCCAUCCACUUCCACAAUCUCUGCUACUGCUGCCAAGGGCAACUGUUUCCACUUCCUUUUGUUUCCACUUACAGAAUCCUCCCUCUUCUUAUGUGGAGUAUGUGAUAAAACAUCUUGUUUAGUGGGUCUGUGCAAAGCCUUCAUGGAGAAUGCUUCAUAUAUGUGGUGUAAUGUGGCUGGUUCUACUUGCUUUUCUUUUCACAUUUUUCUACUUAUCAUCAUAACCUUGGUUAUGGAAACCCUCUGCUGACCUCCUGGCAUGUUCCUUCUCCUUUUCCUCUUUUUCCUACACUUCUUUCUCCCCUCCCCCUUUCUCUCCCUCCUCCUUGUUCUCCUUUCCCUUCUUCUUUUUCUCUUCCACUUCUCUCCUCUUCCUCUUUCUCCUUUGUGAUGUUUUUUUUUGUUGCUGUUGUUGCUGCGCACAGACUUUCUCUAGUUGCGUUGAGUGGGGGCUACUCUUUGUUGUGGUGCGUGGGCUUCUCAUUUUUGUGGCUUCUCUUGUUGCAGAGCAUGGGCUGUAGGCACACAGGCUUCAGUAGUUGUGGCACGCAAGCUCAGUAGUUGUGGCACACGGGCUUAGUUGCUCUCUGGCAUGUGGGAUCUUCCCGGACCAGGGCUUGAACCCGCGUCCCCUGCAUUGGCAGGUGGAUUCUUAACCACUGCGCCACCAGGGAAGUCCCUGUGAUGGUUUUUGAUUUGUCAGGUUGGCUAGGCUACAGUCCCCAGUUAUUGAAUCAAACUAAUCUUUGUAUCUCUGUGAAAGUAUUUUGUAGAUGUGAUUGAAGUCCAUAAGCAGUUAGCUUUAAGUAAGGGAGAUUAUCCUGGAUAAUCUGGGUGGGCCUGAUUCAGUCAGUUCAAAGGCCUUAAGCUGAGGCUUCCCUGAUGAAGAAGAAAUUCCUCCUGUGAACAGCAGCUCCAGCCUGUUCAGGGGUUCUGGCCUGCCCUUCUUGAUGGACUGCCCUACAGGUUUUGGACUUGCCUAACCAGCCCCCACAACUGUGUAAGCCUAUUUCUUGCAAUAAAUCUCUUAAUAUAUAUCUUCUACUGGUUCUCUGGUUGAACUCUGACUGAUACAUCCUUCAAAGUAUUUUCUCCAUCCAGUCUGGGAAGUCCUCAUUUCAUUGACAAGUGUAGGGAGGCACUCCCCAAACUCAUUUAUCUGUUCCUCAAGGGGGAAGAUCGACUUCAGUAAAUACUUACAGAGGGCCAUCGUUGCCUCUGAUUGGAAGGAAACCAUUCUUCAGGUGCCAGGAAAGGUUCCCAGUGUGAGGAACAGUGUGCUAGCAUUGUCAAGUGAACUAUUAUUGGUUGGUUGGUUGGUUGGUUGAUGCCAGACUGCUGUUAAUUGCAUAAAAAGAAAGUAAAAAUGAUUGAACAUAAAAGUGAGAGCGGGCAGAGUAUAAAAUAAAUAUCUAUAUGUCCAUACUGACAUAAAUAAACGAUUGACUGAAUAAAUAGAUAAAUAAGUAGAAGAGAAGAGGCAAAUCUCCCAUGCAGAAGAAUUUCAAAUAAUUUAUGUACGUACUCUGCCCUCAAGGAAGUAGAGCAUUAUUCUCUAUUUCUUAAGAUUGGGUAUGCACAGUGACUUCCUUUCAAAGAGUACAAUGUGCAAAAGGGGGAAAGGAGUAACUUUAUAGUGGAGAAAUCUGACAAAUGCUACCUCAGUCAGGCGAUCAAGUUCAACAUCAACAGUGAAAAUCGUGUUGAUAUUAUGUAUCACAGCUAUGAUGCAAUGAAAAUGGCACUUUACCUCUGUAGUCUUCUCCCCCAAACCUAUAAUCCUAGUCUAACCACGAGAAAAACAUCAGAAAAAUACCAAUUGAGGGACAUUCUGCAAAAUAGUUGACCAGCACUUCUCAGAACCAUCAAGGUCAUCAAAAACAAGAAAAGUCUGAGAAACUAUCAGGACCAAGAAGAGCCUAAGAUAAGACAUGAUGACUAAAUGUGAUGUGGCAUCCUGGAUAGGAUUCUGGAACAGAAAAAGGAUAUUAGGUAAAAACUAAGGAUGUCUGGGGACUUCCCUGGUGGCGCAGUGGCUAAGAAUCCGCCUGCCAAUGCAGGGGACACAGGUUUGAGCCCUGGUCUGGGAAGAUCCCACAUGCCGCGGAGCACCUAAGCCCAUGUGCCACAACUACUGAGCCCACGUGCCACAACUACUGAAGCCCGCGCGCCUAGAGCCCAUGCUCCGCAACAAGAGAAGCCACCGCAAUGAAAAGCCCGCCUGCCGCAAUGAAGAGUAGCCCCCGCUCGCAGCUGCAACUAGAGAAAGCCCACGCACAGCAAUGAAGACAAAAUGCAACCAAAAAUAAAUAAAUAAGUAAAUAAACCAAAAAAAACCUAAGGAGGUCUGAAUAAAGUGUGGACUUUGGUUAAUGAUGGCAUAUCAAUAUUGGUCCAUUAAUUGUAACAAAUGUAUCACACUAAUGUAGGAUGUUAAUAAUAGGGAUGGAUGUGGGUAUAUGAGAACUCUCUGUACUAUCAUCUUAGUUUUUCUACAAAUGUAAAACUGCUCUAAAAAAUAAAGUGUAUCUCUGGAGACAAUACAAAUAUCAGUGGUCGCCAGAGGUUCUGGGGAAGAAGGGAGAGGGGGGUUUAGGGCAGUGAAACAAUACUGUAUGAUACUGUAAUGGUGGAUGUGUCAUAUACAUUUGUCAAAGCCCCAAACCAUUGCAGGAGCGGCCGGAUGCUACAGGUGCCUCCAGCCAGAGCCCAAUAGGAAACUGCUACCGCUGCUGCUGCAAGAAGUCAACCUUGAAAACACUGGGAAUUCCCUGAUAGCAAAAAAUGGAAGCUCUGCGUAGAGCUGGUUUCCUCAUGGUGCUCAGUUCCGAAUCAGUCUCAUGCAGAGCUCCAAAUGGUUACAGCCGAGACCAGGUCCCCAGGUGAAGCGUCCAAGAUUCCAGGAAGACUGAGCUCUAUUUCCCUAAGUAUUAACACUUCAAAACGGAUAAAGCCCAGACUUUGGAGACAUCUCUAGGCUGUAAAAGCUGGAGACACAGGAUUUACCUGGCUCUUGGAAGGACAUGUUAACAUUACAAAAGGAGAGACCUAAGCAUGUUUAAGGAGAAGAGGCACCACAGAUUGAAAUCAAAGAGAGAAACGUUAAUUGAUGGAGCAAGUUUCUAAAGGAGAUGAUUGAAAAAGAUGGCACAUAGGGCCCAAGUGGAUGGGUGAUCUUGAACAGGAAGAUGGAAUGGAGACAAGGAUGAGUGUGAAUGUAGCUUUGUUUGGUGAAGAGAUUAGACACCUGGUGGAAACAACCAGGUGAAGGAGGGGAGAAGGGUGGUUGGUAGUACUAACACAGGGUGAGAGGUUUGUGGGGUGGUUUGGCAGACAGGAACACAAAGGGAAUUGAGGCUGCUGGCGAGAGAGUAGUUCUGGUGAUCAAGCAUGACAUUAAGAAAGGUUGGGAAAGGAAGGAAAAGAGGCCAGGAGGGGCUGGGAGACUGGGAGAAAAUGGAGGGCUCAAAGGACUGAAGGGGUCCAUAUGAGGUAAAAGAACCAGUGUCCUGUGAGACCCUUACUCCUGAGGAAGCAGGUAGGAGAGGAGCUUGUCUCAAAAUGGAAUACUGAAGGGUUCGAUGUUAGAGGUAAGCAAUUCUGGGCCUCAGUAAAGUUCAAGAUGUGGUGCUUUGAGUGCAGGUGGCUGAAACGGAAUGGAGAAGGUAAUUGAGAGAAUCAUGGGACCCAGAAGUUGCUGGUUCUGUCAUCUCCAUGGACAAUGAGAUCCCCUAGUAUGAGCACCAGGAAUUAGGGUGGAGUGGGAAAUCAUGGGCUGGGUGCCAGUAUCCUUACUUAAGGAGGGAGGAGUGAAGGAUAUAUAAGAAUUUUCUAGGCAGACUGGGAUGGAAGGAUGACCAUUCAAGAUAGAACAGAUUGGAGAAAGGCAUGGUUGGAUGUGUGAAACAGCCUGAUCUUUUCAGGAAACUGAAACCAGUAUGAGUGUGAGCACAGGGAUGUGCCAGCAGAUGAGGCUGGAUUAGCAGAUGGAACUGACAUCGGAGGCACAGCCACUGAGAGGUCUUAAGCAGAGCAUAGACAUCAUUCUGAUUUGUAUUUUAGAUUUUCUAAGGUUAACUGUGGAAAACUAGAGUCAGGUAGGGUUAGAAACCAGUUAGAGGGCUCUCGCAGUUGCCUGGGCCAAUACCAGGGAAGUGGCACUGGCAGAGGAGGUGGAAGAUGAAUUCCAGAGCUAUUUUGAUAUCACACGUGUUUUUGCAGCUCUAUACCGUUUCACCUAUUUUCAGCAUAUGCAGUAUGAAGCCUGGUAGCUUUAUCCUUUCAGUUUAUGCUUUUAUGGCCCAGCUCUUCACCCCAGAAGCAGCUGUCAGGACCUUUGAGAAUGGGAUCCUUAUCAGUUAUAUCUCCACUUUGCCCACUGGAUAGGGCAGGGGAUGCACUUAUCAAAGGCUUUUGGUCUCAGCUAAUUUACUUGUCUUUACUUGCUUUUUUCCCCCUUUACCAAAUCCUUCAGUUAGUCUGAGGCAAGAAUUUGAUACCUUGAAUGUUAUGGGAUCAGGCUGUUUCACUCUUUUUCAGUGCUCUGUUGCCUGGAGCACACAGGUGGCAAAUUGGAAGGGCUAGUACGGUAUAUGAGAGUUGAACUCAGUAUGUGAAGCUGGCUGACAGGCCCUAGUUAGUACUCUGCCUCCUUUUCAGGGUUACUCUGUCAUUUGUGGUAGGCAGAAUUCUAACAUGGCCCCCAGGAUUCCUGCCCACCUGGUGAAUACACACCUUCUCCCAGUUCUUUACUCAAAAACUAAUCUAGGUGCUGCUGUGAAGGGAUUGUGCAGAUGUAAUUCAGAUCCCAAAUCAGCUAACUUUAAAAAAUAGAUAUUAUCCUAAGGGAGCUGACCUAAACAGCUGGGCUCUUAAAAGGGAUUGGGCUCUUCAGUCAGAAAAAGACAAAUGCUGUAUGAUUUCACUCAUAUCUAAAGUAGUCAAGGGCUUCCCUGGUGACGCAGUGGUUAAGAAUCCACCUGCCAAUUCAGGGGACACGGGUUCGAACCCUGGUCUGGGAAGAUCCCACAUGCCGCGGGGCGGCUGGGCCCGUGCACUGUAGCCCAGCCUGUGCCCUGGAGCCCACGAGCCACAACUACUGAAGCCCAUGUGCCUAGAGCCCAUGCUCCGCAACAGGAGAAGCCACCACAAUGAGAAGCCCGCGCACCGCAACGAAGGUAGCCCUUGCUCACCACAACUAGAGAAAUCACGUGCGCAGCAACGAAGACACAACGCAGCCAAAAAUAAAAUAAAUAACUAAAUAAAUAAAUUUAUUUUAAAAAAUAAAGUAGUCAAAUUCAUAGAGAGAAAGUAAAAUGGCGGUUACCAGGGGCUGUGGGAGGGGGAAAUGGGGAGUUGUUUAAUGAAUCUAGAGUUUCAAUUUUUUUUAACAUUAAUUAAUUAAUUCAUUAAUUUAUUUAUAAUUUUGGCUGUGUUGGUUCUUCGUUGCUGCACAUGGGCUUUCUCUAGUUGGCGGCGAGUGGGGCUACUCUUUGUUGCGGCGCAUUGCGGUGACUUCUCUUAUUGCGGAGCAAGGGUUCUAGGCACGCGGGCUUCAGUAGUUGUGGCAUGUGGGCUCAGUUGUUGUGGCUCACAGGCUCUAGGACACAGGCUCAGUAGUUGUGGCCCAGGGGCUUAGUUGCUCCGCGGCAUGUGGGGUCUUCCCAAACCAGGGCUCGAACCCGUGUCCCCUGCAUUGCCAGGCGGAUUCUUAACCACUGCGCCACCAGGGAAGUCCCUAGAGUUUCCGUUUUGCAAGAUGAAAAAGUUCUGGAGAUCUGUUGCACAACAGUGUGAAUAUACUUAACAGUACCAAACUGUACACUUUAAAUGGUUAAGAUGGUACAUUUUAUGUUAUUUUUUAUCACAAUUUUUAAAAAGUGGGAGGGACUGGGCUCUUUCUGGUGAGAUUCAAACUGUGAGAGGAGUUUGACACGAGGGGGAUUCUCUGUCGCUGACUUUGUAGAUGGAGGGGGCCAUGUGGCAAGUAAUGUGGGUUGCCUCUACGAGCUGAGAGUGGCCUCCAGCUGACUGACAUCAAAGAUGUGGGAACCUCGGUCCUAUGACCAUGAGGAACUAAAUUCUGCCACAACCACAUGAGUUUGGAAGAGUAUCCUAAGCCUCAGGUGAGUCUGCAGCCUGACAUCUUCAUUUCAGCUGGUGAGACCCUGAGCAGAGGACCCAGGUAACCUGUGCCUGGAUUUCUGGUCCAUAGAAACGGUGAAAACAUAUCAGAAAAUGAGAGGAGUCUCCACAAGUACGCGGGCCUCUGACUGUUGUGGCCUCUCCCGCCGCGGAGCACAGGCUCCGGACGCACAGGCUCAGCGGCCAUGGCUCACGGGCCCAGCUGCUCCGCGGCAUGUGGGAUCCUCCCGGACCGGGGCACGAACCCGCGUCCCCUGCAUCGGCAGGCAGACCCUCAACCACUGCGCCACCAGGGAAGCCCUCUUCAAGAUUU